UGGGGAAUAUUGGACAAUGGGGGCAACCCUGAUCCAGCGACGCCGCGUGUGUGAAGAAGGCCUGCGGGUUGUAAAGCACUUUCGAUGGGAACGAAAUGUGCCGGGUUAAUACCCCGGUAAGCUGACGUUACUCAAUGAAGAAGCACCGGCUAACUCUGUGCCAGCAGCCGCGGUAAUACAGAGGGUGCGAGCGUUAAUCGGAAUUACUGGGCGUAAAGCGCACGUAGGUGGCGACGUAAGUCGGGUGUGAAAGCCCCGGGCUUAACCUGGGAAUUGCAUUCGAUACUGCAUAGCUAGAGUAUGGUAGAGGGUAGCGGAAUUCCGGGUGUAGCGGUGAAAUGCGUAGAUAUCCGGAGGAACACCAGUGGCGAAGGCGGCUACCUGGACCAAUACUGACACUGAGGCUCGAAAGCGUGGGGAGCAAACAGGAUUAGAUACCCACGUAGUCCCUGAGCGGGCUGGCAAGGC
This 468-nucleotide ribosomal RNA is filed under the name uncultured bacterium. RNAcentral's name for it is "bacterial SSU rRNA". It matches the Rfam family "Bacterial small subunit ribosomal RNA", at positions 355 to 821 of the family's 1533-position model. The record is from RNAcentral.